AGGGAACGCUGGCGGUAGGCCUAACACAUGCAAGUCGAACGGCAGCACAGUAAGAGCUUGCUCUUACGGGUGGCGAGUGGCGGACGGGUGAGGAAUACAUCGGAAUCUACUUUUUCGUGGGGGAUAACGUAGGGAAACUUACGCUAAUACCGCAUACGACCUACGGGCGAAAGCAGGGGAUCUUCGGACCUUGCGCGAUUGAAUGAGCCGAUGUCGGAUUAGCUAGUUGGCGGGGUAAAGGCCCACCAAGGCGACGAUCCGUAGCUGGUCUGAGAGGAUGAUCAGCCACACUGGAACUGAGACACGGUCCAGACUCCUACGGGAGGCAGCAGUGGGGAAUAUUGGACAAUGGGCGCAAGCCUGAUCCAGCCAUACCGCGUGGGUGAAGAAGGCCUUCGGGUUGUAAAGCCCUUUUGUUGGGAAAGAAAAGCAGCAGGUUAAUACCCCGCUGUUCUGACGGUACCCAAAGAAUAAGCACCGGCUAACUUCGUG
Molecule: ribosomal RNA, 492 nt
Filed under: uncultured bacterium
Lineage: Bacteria
Description: partial 16S ribosomal RNA
Rfam family: Bacterial small subunit ribosomal RNA
Source: RNAcentral